GAGACUUGUAUGUUCAGUCUAAGACGUCAUAUAUUUGUGUACAGAGGAAGUAGUUAGUAAUAAGGUCGAGUGCUUCUUCCAUGCAUGACAUAAUACUGAGCUGUAAAUAAUGCUUCUUCUCAAGAUGCAGUCUCAUGAUCUGCUUGAUGUUUCCCAGGGAUGACCAAAUUGGUAGCGUGAGGAUCCCAGUUACUCACAGAGGCGGGCAAUGGCAUGUACAGGGCUGAGCAGCACCGCUAGGCUCCAAGGGACUCAUUCAACCAACAUCUUCCUUCUGCACAACCACUGCAAGCGAAAUAUGAGCUCAAGUUGCUACCCAACUCAUACAGAUUUAAACCCAAUUGAUCAGUCAAAACGAAAAGUACAAUCAUCCGAGCAUGAGGUAUAGAGUAGAGCACCACGAAAUCCUAGGUUACCUCUUCCAGCCGUCGUAUACGAGCCCCUUUCCAUCCUCCCGCGCACUCUUCUUCGGCACCCCAAGGCCGCUGCCGCUUUGGUCACCUCCCUCACCUCUCUGGCUCCCCUUACAACCUAAGCGGAUGACGGUGAGGAAAGGAAAUAGAAAUCGAAUCUAUUCAACCUAUUGUAAACUCACUAUAAAAGUAUAAAAGAACAUAUGCCUUGUCUGGAAAUUGCAACUAUAAUUAUUAAAAUAAAUUUUCACGUACAUAAACUAAUCAGACCAUUAGGCAGUUCAUUUUGAGUGAACAGAACACCCUCCUUAAGCGAUUAACAGUUUCUCAUGAUAUCUAUGGUAUAAUAGAAUAAACAAACCAAAGAAAAGCUAUAUAUGAUUACUAAAAAUUGUUGUUUGCUAUCAAGAAAAGUGAUGGUGUUGCAUCAAGAUGAUCUAAAUGUAAAUCAAAUG
Molecule: long non-coding RNA, 868 nt
Filed under: Triticum aestivum (bread wheat)
Lineage: Eukaryota; Viridiplantae; Streptophyta; Magnoliopsida; Poales; Poaceae
Description: long non-coding RNA (TAES_LNC015723)
Source: RNAcentral